CCGGGAGUUCUCUCGCUCCGCUCCGUCGAAGGACGCCAUUGCUGUUAUUUACUUCAUUAACUCGUUCUGUGGCAGGGAAUCCUCUCUCAUCAGGCUCUAGAGAUGAAUGAUACCUGUUUGUCCACGCAACAGAAGAUCUUCGACCAUCUGGCUUCGAACCCGCAACCCUUUAGUCCACUUCACUGAUCCAUGAUUUGCAAGUGUAAAAAUUAAGUGGGAUGCUGCGAAUACAAAUGCUAUCAGCCGCAGAAUCGGCAGAUACUUGCUGGAGCUGUAGAUUGG
Molecule: long non-coding RNA, 282 nt
Organism: Uloborus diversus
Lineage: Eukaryota; Metazoa; Arthropoda; Arachnida; Araneae; Uloboridae
Exons: 3
Source: RefSeq, a predicted model, not a curated record